CCCUACUCUGGGAUAAGCCUGGGAAACUGGGUCUAAUACUGGAUAUGACCAAUCACUGCAUGGUGUGUUGGUGGAAAGAUUUUUUGGUGGGGGAUGGACUCGCGGCCUAUCAGCUUGUUGGUGGGGUAAUGGCCUACCAAGGCGACGACGGGUAGCCGGCCUGAGAGGGCGACCGGCCACACUGGGACUGAGACACGGCCCAGACUCCUACGGGAGGCAGCAGUGGGGAAUAUUGCACAAUGGGCGAAAGCCUGAUGCAGCGACGCCGCGUGAGGGAUGACGGCCUUCGGGUUGUAAACCUCUUUCACCAGGGACGAAGCUAACGUGACGGUACCUGGAGAAGAAGCACCGGCUAACUACGUGCCAGCAGCCGCGGUAAUACGUAGGGUGCGAGCGUUGUCCGGAAUUAUUGGGCGUAAAGAGCUUGUAGGCGGUUUGUCGCGUCUGCUGUGAAAGACCGGGGCUUAACUCCGGUUCUGCAGUGGGUACGGGCAGACUAGAGUAUGGUAGGGGAGACUGGAAUUCCUGGUGUAGCGGUGAAAUGCGCAGAUAUCAGGAGGAACACCGAUGGCGAAGGCAGGUCUCUGGGCCAUUACUGACGCUGAGAAGCGAAAGCAUGGGGAGCGAACAGGAUUAGAUACCCUGGUAGUCCAUGCCGUAAACGUUGGGCGCUAGGUGUGGGGCUCAUUCCACGAGUUCCGUGCCGCAGCUAACGCAUUAAGCGCCCCGCCUGGGGAGUACGGCCGCAAGGCUAAAACUCAAAGGAAUUGACGGGGGCCCGCACAAGCGGCGGAGCAUGCGGAUUAAUUCGAUGCAACGCGAAGAACCUUACCAAGGCUUGACAUACACCGGAAUCAUGCAGAGAUGUGUGCGUCUUCGGACUGGUGUACAGGUGGUGCAUGGUUGUCGUCAGCUCGUGUCGUGAGAUGUUGGGUUAAGUCCCGCAACGAGCGCAACCCUCGUUCCAUGUUGCCAGCACGUAAUGGUGGGGACUCAUGGGAGACUGCCGGGGUCAACUCGGAGGAAGGUGGGGAUGACGUCAAAUCAUCAUGCCCCUUAUGUCUUGGGCUUCACGCAUGCUACAAUGGCCGGUACAGAGGGUUGCGAAACUGUGAGGUGGAGCUAAUCCCAAAAAACCGGUCUCAGUUCGGAUUGGGGUCUGCAACUCGACCCCAUGAAGUCGGAGUCGCUAGUAAUCGCAGAUCAGCAACGCUGCGGUGAAUACGUUCCC
RNAcentral lists this ribosomal RNA (1231 nucleotides) under Dermacoccus sp. RNAcentral's name for it is "bacterial SSU rRNA". It matches the Rfam family "Bacterial small subunit ribosomal RNA", at positions 131 to 1375 of the family's 1533-position model. The record is from RNAcentral. Lineage: Bacteria; Bacillati; Actinomycetota; Actinomycetes; Micrococcales; Dermacoccaceae.